AAGUCGUAACAAGGUUUCCGUAGGUGAACCUGCGGAAGGAUCAUUAGCGUAGAUUCGACGUGUAAUAACGUCGACUCACACACACACCUUGUGAACCAGGAAUAGUGUGCACGGCACGACUGGAGGCUGAUAACUCGGCCGCCAGUCUGUCGUCUUUAACCUUUGACAACCGUUUCUGAAUGACUAUCGAGUUUUUACGAAACAAAAACCAUACACACAACUUUUAACAACGGAUCUCUUGGCUCUC
Molecule: unclassified non-coding RNA, 247 nt
Filed under: fungal sp.
Lineage: Eukaryota; Fungi
Description: partial internal transcribed spacer region
Rfam family: Eukaryotic small subunit ribosomal RNA (bases 1-46)
Source: RNAcentral